This is an RNA transcript of Macrosteles quadrilineatus (aster leafhopper), 792 nucleotides long. RefSeq lists it as uncharacterized. NCBI's taxonomy places the organism in Eukaryota, Metazoa, Arthropoda, Insecta, Hemiptera, Cicadellidae. The record is from RefSeq and is a predicted model, not a curated record. The transcript is spliced from 6 exons.
ACCCGCACACUGGGCCAUCAUGAGAUGGAGAUGUCCAGGAAGGAGCUGGAAGCUCAAGAGAGGCUUUUGGAAAACAACUUGAAGAUUUCCCUUUUGGUGGAAAUCAACGAAGUUCUCCAACAACGCCAAGAGGUUGUUCAGAGACACAACCUUUUGCUGAAGAAUAUAAGCGAUUUACAAAACCAGGUACAGGACACAACCAAGUGGAUAGAGAGUCUUUGGGACGCAAAAGUGUCUGAGGCCAAGCAGCAGGGAGCUAAGCUAGAGGCAGAUGUCUCAGCAUUGAGGUUGCAGAUCACAGCUCUACAGAAGGCUUCUGGAGGAUCCCAACCUGUCAAGUUGUCUGACCUCUCGCCUCAGGAUGGCCCUAAGAGUGCUGGCAAGGAGCUUCCUUCUAGAAAAGCCAACUACAAGAUAACAGCCACUCGAUUACAGAGUGACAUCAAAUCAUUACGUCACAGGAUCAAUGGCACCAAACUGAGAUUGCUCAAUGAAAUCAAGAACAAGCAGCAGGCAGAGGCCGAAGUGAGGCAGUUGAGAAGCAACAUAUCUUCGAGUAAACACAACAGCAAAGCAACAACUCCUCUGCCAGGGUACAGUGACAGUCCAUGCCCAGAGCCUCCCAUCCUCUAGUAAAUACCUGCCUGCUCGACAAGUGUAGUUGUAGCGAAUUUGAAUGAGUGGAAAAUGCCUGUCCUCUGCUAUUUUGGCGAUUCUGCAAAGAUACGACCUACCAUCACAGCUGGUCGUAGACUGGUCCAGUAACUUCCGUCUUCGUUCCUCUUAGUCUUA